This 253-nucleotide ribosomal RNA is filed under the name uncultured bacterium. RNAcentral describes it as "partial 16S ribosomal RNA". It matches the Rfam family "Bacterial small subunit ribosomal RNA", at positions 524 to 776 of the family's 1533-position model. The record is from RNAcentral.
UACGGGGGGGGCAAGCGUUGUUCGGAAUUACUGGGCGUAAAGGGCUCGUAGGCGGCCAACUAAGUCCGACGUGAAAUCCCCAGGCUUAACCUGGGAACUGCGUCGGAUACUGGAUGGCUUGAAUUCGGGAGAGGGAUGCAGAAUUCCAGGUGUAGCGGUGAAAUGCGUAGAUAUCUGGAGGAACACCGGUGGCGAAGGCGGGUCUCUGGGCCGAUACUGACGCUGAGGAGCGAAAGCGUGGGGAGCGAACAGG